RNAcentral lists this ribosomal RNA (492 nucleotides) under uncultured bacterium. RNAcentral describes it as "partial 16S ribosomal RNA". It matches the Rfam family "Bacterial small subunit ribosomal RNA", at positions 29 to 507 of the family's 1533-position model. The record is from RNAcentral.
AGUGAACGCUGGCGGUAGGCCUAACACAUGCAAGUCGAACGGCAGCACAGUAAGAGCUUGCUCUUACGGGUGGCGAGUGGCGGACGGGUGAGGAAUACAUCGGAAUCUACUUUUUCGUGGGGGAUAACGUAGGGAAACUUACGCUAAUACCGUAUACGACCUACGGGUGAAGGCAGGGGAUCUUCGGACCUUGCGCGAUUGAAUGAGCCGAUGUCGGAUUAGCUAGUUGGCGGGGUAAAGGCCCACCAAGGCGACGAUCCGUAGCUGGUCUGAGAGGAUGAUCAGCCACACUGGAACUGAGACACGGUCCAGACUCCUACGGGAGGCAGCAGUGGGGAAUAUUGGACAAUGGGCGCAAGCCUGAUCCAGCCAUACCGCGUGGGUGAAGAAGGCCUUCGGGUUGUAAAGCCCUUUUGUUGGGAAAGAAAAGCAGCAGGUUAAUACCCCGCUGUUCUGACGGUACCCAAAGAAUAAGCACCGGCUAACUUCGUG